GAUGAACGCUGGCGGCGUGCCUAACACAUGCAAGGCGAGCGAACCCUUCGGGGUGAGCGGCGGACGGGUGAGUAACGCGUGGGUAACCUGCCCUGCACACACGGAUAACAUACCGAAAGGUAUGCUAAUACGAGAUAAUAUAUUUUAAUCGCAUGGUUAAGAUAUCAAAGCUCCGGCGGUACAGGAUGGACCCGCGUCUGAUUAGCUAGUUGGUGAGGUAAUGGCUCACCAAGGCGACGAUCAGUAGCCGACCUGAGAGGGUGAUCGGCCACACUGGAACUGAGACACGGUCCAGACUCCUACGGGAGGCAGCAGUGGGGAAUAUUGCACAAUGGGCGAAAGCCUGAUGCAGCAACGCCGCGUGAGCGAUGAAGGCCUUCGGGUCGUAAAGCUCUGUCCUCAAGGAAGAUAAUGACGGUACUUGAGGAGGAAGCCCCGGCUAACUACGUGCCAGCAGCCGCCGUAA
This 466-nucleotide ribosomal RNA is filed under the name uncultured bacterium. Its description in RNAcentral is "partial 16S ribosomal RNA". It matches the Rfam family "Bacterial small subunit ribosomal RNA", at positions 28 to 523 of the family's 1533-position model. The record is from RNAcentral.